UAGCGAAAUUCCUUGUCGGGUAAGUUCCGACCCGCACGAAAGGCGUAAUGAUUUGAGCGCUGUCUCGACAAUGCAUCCGGUGAAAUUGAAGUACCAGUGAAGAUGCUGGUUACCUGCGCCAGGACGGAAAGACCCCAUGGAGCUUUACUCCAGCUUGAUACUGGGAUUCGGUAUUGCAUGUACAGGAUAGGUGGGAGGCUAGGAAAUGGUAACGCCAGUUGCCAUGGAGCCGAUGUUGGGAUACCACCCUUGCAGUACUGGGUUUCUAACCAGCAGCCGUGAUCCGGCUGGGGGACAAUGUCAGGUGGGGAGUUUGACUGGGGCGGUCGCCUCCGAAAGGGUAUCGGAGGCGCUCAAAGGUUCCCUCAGAAUGGUUGGAAACCAUUCGAAGAGUGCAAAGGCAGAAGGGAGCUUGACUGCGACACCGACGGGUGGAGCAGGUACGAAAGUAGGACUUAGUGAUCCGGUGGUAUAAAGUGGGAUUGCCAUCGCUCAACGGAUAAAAGCUACCCUGGGGAUAACAGGCUUAUCACUCCCAAGAGUUCACAUCGACGGAGUGGUUUGGCACCUCGAUGUCGGCUCAUCGCAUCCUGGGGCUGUAGUAGGUCCCAAGGGUUGGGCUGUUCGCCCAUUAAAGCGGUACGCGAGCUGGGUUCAGAACGUCGUGAGACAGUUCGGUCCCUAUCCGGCGCAGGCGGAGGAAAUUUGAUAGGAGCUGUCCUUAGUACGAGAGGACCGGGAUGGACGGACCGCUGGUGUAUCUGUUGUACUGCCAAGUGCAUAGCAGAGUAGCCAAGUCUGGAAGGGAUAAACGCUGAAGGCAUCUAAGCGUGAAGCCCCCCUAAAGAUAAGAUUUCCCAUACCGAAAGGUAGUAAGACCCCUUGAAGACGACGAGGUAGAUAGGGCAGAGGUGGAAGUACGGUAACGUAUGGAGCUGACUGUUACUAAUCGGUCGAGGCUUUAACCAA
This 969-nucleotide ribosomal RNA is filed under the name human gut metagenome. Its description in RNAcentral is "bacterial LSU rRNA". It matches the Rfam family "Bacterial large subunit ribosomal RNA", at positions 1957 to 2925 of the family's 2925-position model. The record is from RNAcentral.